AGUGAACGCUGGCGGUGGGCCUAACACAUGCAAGUCGAACGGCAGCACAGUAAGAGCUUGCUCUUACGGGUGGCGAGUGGCGGACGGGUGAGGAAUACAUCGGAAUCUACUUUUUCGUGGGGGAUAACGUAGGGAAACUUACGCUAAUACCGCAUACGACCUACGGGUGAAAGCAGGGGAUCUUCGGACCUUGCGCGAUUGAAUGAGCCGAUGUCGGAUUAGCUAGUUGGCGGGGUAAAGGCCCACCAAGGCGACGAUCCGUAGCUGGUCUGAGAGGAUGAUCAGCCACACUUGAACUGAGACACGGUCCAGACUCCUACGGGAGGCAGCAGUGGGGAAUAUUGGACAAUGGGCGCAAGCCUGAUCCAGCCAUACCGCGUGGGUGAAGAAGGCCUUCGGGUUGUAAAGCCCUUUUGUUGGGAAAGAAAAGCAGCAGGUUAAUACCCCGCUGUUCUGACGGUACCCAAAGAAUAAGCACCGGCUAACUUCGUG
This 492-nucleotide ribosomal RNA is filed under the name uncultured bacterium. Its description in RNAcentral is "partial 16S ribosomal RNA". It matches the Rfam family "Bacterial small subunit ribosomal RNA", at positions 29 to 507 of the family's 1533-position model. The record is from RNAcentral.